Molecule: ribosomal RNA, 403 nt
Filed under: uncultured bacterium
Lineage: Bacteria
Description: bacterial SSU rRNA
Rfam family: Bacterial small subunit ribosomal RNA
Source: RNAcentral
UAGGGAAUAUUGCAAAAUGGGCGAAAGCCCGAUGCAGCAACGCCGCGUGGGCGAUGAAGGCCUUCGGGUCGUAAAGCCCUUUUUGAGGGGAUGAGGAAGGACAGUACCCUCAGAAUAAGCCUCGGCUAACUACGUGCCAGCAGCCGCGGUAAAACGUAGGAGGCGAGCGUUAUCCGGAUUUACUGGGCGUAAAGCGCGUGCAGGCGGAUUGGAGAGUUGGAUGUGAAAGCUCCCGGCUUAACUGGGAGAGGUCGUUCAAUACUUCCAGUCUUGAGUGCAGUAGAGGGAAGUGGAAUUCCGGGUGUAGGGGUGAAAUGCGUAGAUAUCCGGAGGAACACCAGUGGCGAAAGCGGCUUCCUGGACUGUAACUGACGCUCAGACGCGAAAGCUAGGGUAGCAAACG